Molecule: long non-coding RNA, 1286 nt
Organism: Ruditapes philippinarum (Manila clam)
Lineage: Eukaryota; Metazoa; Mollusca; Bivalvia; Venerida; Veneridae
Exons: 3
Source: RefSeq, a predicted model, not a curated record
UUAAUUUCAUUAGAGGAGGGACUGUCACGUGUGACCUGCCCCGUGAUGUGAUUGGUGUACAGACAGACAUUUUGUUUCCAAUCUCCCAACAGAGGGAGCUGGCAUCAGCUCUUCAGACAGCAGGUAACAAAGCUGUGACAUAUUAUGAAUUAAACUCUGUGUAUGGUCAUGACACAUUUCUGCUGGACUUAAAUGGCGUAGGUGCCGGUGUUAAGGGCUUUAUUGAAACAAGGACAUCAAAAAAUGGCUUGGCAUCAAUACCAGGUUCUGAGGCAACGAUACCAGAUUCUGAGAGGAAGUGCUAUUAAGACGGCUUCUUACAGCAUCACAAUAUAUGCAAAAACGUUGUGAAUAUAAGUGAUUACAUUUGUAUAAAAAAAAAGAUAUGCAAAUUUUGAACAUGUUUAUUUAGCCUUUUGAGCACUUGUGUAAAAUAAGUAUUAUUAUAUAGACAUACAUGUAUUUAUUGAAACCCUAUGAGCAGUUAAUGAGACAUUUUUCACAUUAUAUGUACUAUACAAAAACUGUUUUGUUUGUAUUUACAGAUGUAUCAGUGCGAUGACUCUGUGAAUAUGUAAUAUGUAAAUGAGUUUUAAUUAGUAAUAAUUACUGAGUGAUAAUGAAAAUAUUAUAAAUGCCAAAUGAAUGCAUUUUAAAAAAAUAUAUAUACACUAAGAUGUACUGGGUUGGUGAUCACACAGAAGAUUGUAAAAAGCACUGGUAACCAUAUGACCAUAACUUUUAUUAUAAUACAUAAAAUAUACUGGAUUACCCUUCUAUAGUAUAAAUAUAUCUUUAAUACCCUUAACCUGCUGAAUUUCCAAAAUGGACUUUUCCAAUUUCCAUUUUGGAACAGUCCAUUAUCUAUUUUAGGUAUAUCAAGGUGAGAAUUUGAAGUUGGCCAGCCAACUGUAUAGAGCCUGGUCAGACUGCAGGAUGUGCAGGCUGGCCUGGCUCUAUACUGGUGGCAAAGGCUAAUCACUGUUGCCUUCAGCAGGGUAAAGGUUAAGUGCUUUUUGUGUACUGGUCUGACUACACUGUGAUACUGUUUAAGUUACUUUAAUUACUAAUAGAAAAGAUUUAUGUAUGCUAGUUUAAAUGAGGGUCCAUCGGUCCUCUCUGGCACUAAGAGUAUGCGCCCCUUAUAAGAACAGAAACGUUAUUUUAUGUAUAUAUACACACAGUAGGGCAACAAAAAGACUAUGUUUACAAUGAUAUUUAUUCUAUAUUAUUUUCAUAUCAAAAAUAUAGUUGUAUAAAUAGCAGCUUCACAAAUAACUUUUUUC